This 875-nucleotide ribosomal RNA is filed under the name uncultured bacterium. Its description in RNAcentral is "bacterial SSU rRNA". It matches the Rfam family "Bacterial small subunit ribosomal RNA", at positions 28 to 896 of the family's 1533-position model. The record is from RNAcentral.
AACGAACGCUGGCGGCGUGGAUAAGACAUGCAAGUCGAACGGAACUUUGGAAUAGCUUGCUAAUUCAAAGUUUAGUGGCGGACGGGUGCGUAACACGUGAGCAACUUGCCCCAAAGCGGGGGAUAGCCCACCGAAAGGUGGAUUAAUACCGCAUGUGAACUUCGGUUUAAAGGUGCCUUCGGGUGCCGCUUUGGGAUGGGCUCGCGGCCUAUCAGCUUGUUGGUGAGGUAACGGCUCACCAAGGCGACGACGGGUAGCCGGCCUGAGAGGAUGAUCAGCCACACUGGAACUGAGACACGGUCCAGACACCUACGGGUGGCAGCAGUCGAGAAUCAUUCACAAUGGACGAAAGUCUGAUGGUGCAACGCCGCGUGGAGGAUGAAGGCCCUAGGGUCGUAAACUCCUGUCAUCAGGGAGUAGGCCUUGUUCGUUAAUAGCGUUCAAGGUUGAUAGUACCUGAAGAGGAAGGGACGGCUAACUUCGUGCCAGCAGCCGCGGUAAUACGAAGGUCCCAAGUGUUGUUCGGAAUCACUGGGCGUAAAGAGUAUGUAGGCGGCGCGGAAAGUCAGAUGUGAAAUCCCGGGGCUCAACCCCGGAACUGCAUCCGAUACUCCCGUGCUAGAGUAAUGGAGGGGUAGAUGGAAUUCUCGGUGUAGCAGUGAAAUGCGUGGAUAUCGAGAGGAAGACUUGUGGCGAAGGCGAUCUACUGGACAUUUACUGACGCUGAGAUACGAAGGCUAGGGUAGCGAAAGGGAUUAGAUACCCCUGUAGUCCUAGCAGUAAACGGUGUGCGCUUGGUGUGGGAGGAUUCGACCCCUUCCGUGCCGGAGCUAACGCGUUAAGCGCACCGCCUGGGGAGUACGGUCGCAAGACUA